RNAcentral lists this ribosomal RNA (471 nucleotides) under uncultured bacterium. RNAcentral describes it as "bacterial SSU rRNA". It matches the Rfam family "Bacterial small subunit ribosomal RNA", at positions 328 to 793 of the family's 1533-position model. The record is from RNAcentral.
UGACAGUACUCCUACGGGAGCAGCAGUGGGAAUAUUGCACAAUGGGGGAAACCCUGAUGCAGCCAUGCCGCGUGUGUGAAGAAGGCCUUCGGGUUGUAAAGCACUUUCAGUCGUGAGGAAGGUAGUGUAGUUAAUAGCUGCAUUAUUUGACGUUAGCGACAGAAGAAGCACCGGCUAACUCCGUGCCAGCAGCCGCGGUAAUACGGAGGGUGCGAGCGUUAAUCGGAAUUACUGGGCGUAAAGCGCAUGCAGGUGGUUUGUUAAGUCAGAUGUGAAAGCCCCGGGGCUCAACCUCGGAAUAGCAUUUGAAACUGGCAGACUAGAGUACUGUAGAGGGGGUAGAAUUUCAGGUGUAGCGGUGAAAUGCGUAGAGAUCUGAAGGAAUACCGGUGGCGAAGGCGGCCCCCUGGACAGAUACUGACACUCAGAUGCGAAAGCGUGGGGAGCAAACAGGAUUAGAUACCCUGGUAG